This 679-nucleotide long non-coding RNA is filed under the name Linum usitatissimum (flax). RNAcentral's name for it is "long non-coding RNA (LUSI_LNC002919)". Lineage: Eukaryota; Viridiplantae; Streptophyta; Magnoliopsida; Malpighiales; Linaceae. The record is from RNAcentral.
GUUCUUGCCUCGGGUGCUUUUUUAGUGAAGGGGUCGUUGAUUUCUUAAACGGUUUUUCCGUUUUGAGGUUGUUGCCUGAACUUCAAAUUCUUAUAUGAAAAUGAUUGAAUGUGAAAAAAACAUGGUAGUUUCUCUAGUGAGAAUAUUUUGCUUCUUAUAUAGGCAUUUCAAUAAAAAAUGCAUAUAAAUACAUGAUCCACAAAUAUAUUACUUAUUUAUCUACUAUUAAAUGCAAGAAAUCAAAUUAUUUCAAUUUUGGAAAUAUUGUACAACUGAAUAUUAAAAGAAGAGAAAAAUAAAAAUUGAUUUUGGCAACAAAAAUUGUUCACUAAAGUAGACAUGUCAACUCAUGUCGUAUUUCCAUCAAUAUCUUUCUUGUCAGCAUUCUCAGCUGAUAUCCAUUUAAAGUUUGGUGAGGGAUGACACUUACGAGCACAAAAAGGUUCACAUAGCUCUCCACCAGCACAGUGUCUCAAGCAAAAUUCAAAACAUUGUAAUUGUGGAUAUUCAUCAGCAAGACAUGGUACUCUAGCCAACAACAACGAAAUUGUAAUCACAUUACACAAUAUCCCUAUAAUGAUUGUCCUCACAGUUAGUGCCAUGACUCUUCUCCUUGUGUUUCAAUUGAAAAUUUUGGAGUUAGAGUGGAGGUAAUUUUCUUUGUUUUGGGAUAGAAACA